GCCUUCGUGGUGUAAUGGUCAGCACACUGAGCCGGUAUUUCAGAGGUCCGCGGUUCGAUUCCCAGCGAAGGCG
Molecule: non-coding RNA, 73 nt
Organism: Stegodyphus mimosarum
Lineage: Eukaryota; Metazoa; Arthropoda; Arachnida; Araneae; Eresidae
Source: Rfam